GUAGGUGGCAAGCGUUGUCCGGAAUUAUUGGGGCGUAAAUCGCGCGCAGGCGGUUCUUUAAGUCUGAUGUGAAAGCCCACGGGCUCAACCGUGGAGGGUCAUUGGAAACUGGAGAACUUGAGUACAGAAGAGGAAAGCGGAAUUCCACGUGUAGCGGUGAAAUGCGUAGAGAUGUGGAGGAACACCAGUGGCGAAGGCGGCUUUCUGGUCUGUAACUGACGCUGAGGCGCGAAAGCGUGGGGAGCAAACAGGAUUAGAUACCCUGGUAGUCCACGCCGUAAACGAUGAGUGCUAAGUGUUAGGGGGUUUCCGCCCCUUAGUGCUGCAGCUAACGCAUUAAGCACUCCGCCUGGGGAGUACGGCCGCAAAGGCUG
Molecule: ribosomal RNA, 374 nt
Filed under: uncultured organism
Description: partial 16S ribosomal RNA
Rfam family: Bacterial small subunit ribosomal RNA
Source: RNAcentral